This 253-nucleotide ribosomal RNA is filed under the name uncultured bacterium. Its description in RNAcentral is "partial 16S ribosomal RNA". It matches the Rfam family "Bacterial small subunit ribosomal RNA", at positions 524 to 776 of the family's 1533-position model. The record is from RNAcentral.
UACGUAGGGUGCAAGCGUUGUCCGGAAUUAUUGGGCGUAAAGAGCUCGUAGGCGGUUCGUCGCGUCGGCUGUGAAAUCCCGAGGCUCAACCUCGGAACUGCAGUCGAUACGGGCGGACUGGAGUUCGGCAGGGGAGACUGGAAUUCCUGGUGUAGCGGUGAAAUGCGCAGAUAUCAGGAGGAACACCGGUGGCGAAGGCGGGUCUCUGGGCCGAUACUGACGCUGAGGAGCGAAAGCGUGGGGAGCGAACAGG